RNAcentral lists this ribosomal RNA (253 nucleotides) under uncultured bacterium. RNAcentral describes it as "partial 16S ribosomal RNA". It matches the Rfam family "Bacterial small subunit ribosomal RNA", at positions 524 to 776 of the family's 1533-position model. The record is from RNAcentral.
UACAGAGGUCCCAAGCGUUGUUCGGAUUCACUGGGCGUAAAGGGCGCGUAGGCGGCCUUCUAAGUCGAACGUGAAAUCCCCGGGCUCAACCCGGGAACUGCGUCCGAUACUGGAAGGCUUGAAUCCGGGAGAGGGAUGCGGAAUUCCAGGUGUAGCGGUGAAAUGCGUAGAUAUCUGGAGGAACACCGGUGGCGAAGGCGGCAUCCUGGACCGGCAUUGACGCUGAGGAGCGAAAGUGUGGGGAGCGAACAGG